GUGAACGCCCUCACGGGCUAUAUACUAUUCCAAACCUCUGUGAACCGUGCCCCUUCGGGGGCUAUUUUACAAACAUGGUGUAAUGAACGUCAUAUAUCAUAACAAAACA
Molecule: unclassified non-coding RNA, 109 nt
Filed under: soil metagenome
Description: partial internal transcribed spacer 1
Source: RNAcentral